GAAGCGAGCCAGGUCGCCGCCGGUGCUGCCCUCGGGCGGCACGGGAGGAAGGUCCGGACUGCACAGGGCAGCGUAGCAGCUAACGGCUGUCCACCGCGAGGUGAGGAUCAGAGCAACAGAGACGAGUCGGUGUGGCCGCCGCAAGGCGGGUGCACCGGGUGAAACGGGCAAUCUCUACGCGCAGCAAUACCAAAUAGGCCGGCGUCGGUCGGGGCUUCGGCUCCGGCCUGGAAGUGUGGCUCCGCACGAGCCGGCGGGUAGGUAGCACCGAGCCGGGCAGCGAUGCCCGGCCCAGAGGAAUGGCGGCCACGGCGGGGGCGUCGCAAGACGCCGCUGCUGCACAGAAUCCGGCCUAUCGGUUCGCUUCACUC
RNAcentral lists this RNase P RNA (371 nucleotides) under Pseudomonadota bacterium. Its description in RNAcentral is "RNase P RNA component class A". It matches the Rfam family "Bacterial RNase P class A". From Rfam's summary of the family: Ribonuclease P (RNase P) is a ubiquitous endoribonuclease, found in archaea, bacteria and eukarya as well as chloroplasts and mitochondria. Its best characterised activity is the generation of mature 5'-ends of tRNAs by cleaving the 5'-leader elements of precursor-tRNAs. The record is from RNAcentral. Lineage: Bacteria; Pseudomonadati; Pseudomonadota.